GGACACCUCACGUCAACUACCCUAUAUAAUAACGACCUUCACCACGAGUUUGUUCCCCUUCGCGACCUCGCGGACAGAAGAACAAGAGAAAAAAAGAAGAUUCCCCCGAGUUCGCUCUCCGGAAUCCUCCGCCCGCCGCCGCCGCCGCUUUUUAUGGAUUUCGGAAGGAACGCUGCAGCCCGGACUUGUGAAGCGAAGAGCAGCGUCUCCCCCCGCCCCUCCGGUCUGCCCUUCUCACCGGCCCCCUCCACGCCGUGGUUCCGCGAGCUGUGGGUCAACUCCCCCAAAUAACACCCUUCUGCAGAGGUGGAAAUUGGUGGAUUUCUUGAUUGGUUGAAGGAAGUAAAACAAAGGGGACCCACUACCCACCGUCCUUUCGGCGAGCGUUGGGGUCUUAUCCAUUUAAACUAAAAUAAGGUCAUUCACAAGAAGGCUGUCAACUGUAAACAUGUAUAGGCCGAAGAUCCCCAAUUCGGGGUGGGCUGCUUUCGAUCGCAGGUUUGGCACAGCUGAUGGAGGGGAUGAUGUUGAUGUCAACUCAUUUCCUGCUCUCUCGGGUUCUAGAGGCUCCGGUUCUGCCAGCAGCUCAGCUAUAGGAAAUAAUAGUAUGCCAAAGGCAAAGCCUUUUGCAUCAGUGAUUUGCCCCCCUGUUGAAUUUGCAGUUGUUGGUAAUAAAAACGGAAACAGGCAUUUGACUGAUCACACGGUGAGGACAAAUUUUGGUGUAAACUCUGCAUCUGGUAACAAAAUUAAGCUCCUGAAGGAUGCUCAUAGUUGGGCCGACAGUAAUUUAAUUGAGGACAUAUUGGCUGGCGUGGAUAAUGAUGUUGGCCAGGCAUCUGUUUUGCUGAAAUCCAUGGUCGCUCCUGACUUUCUGCCAAGGGAGGGUAGAACAACUGGUCAACCUCCUUUUGAGAUGAAUAAAGCACAUGGUUCAGUGUCAGGAAACGCUAUAGCAGAGAAUAAACAUUCAAAUGAAUCACAACUGUUGCCAUCGCAAAUGAAUUUAAUCUCUAUACCCCAGGAGCCUGAAUUAGAAGAGUUUGAUGAUGAUUACUUAAACCACCGGAAAGAUGCAUUGAAGAUGAUGAGGGCUGCCACAAAACAUUCUCAGGCUGCCAGCAAUGCAUUCUUCAGAGGUGACCAUGCUGCUGCCAAGGAACUCUCCCUCAGAGCUCAAGAAGAGCGGUUGGCUGCUGAAAAGUUAAAUAAUAAGGCAGCUGAAGAAAUAUUUCAUCUCAGGAACAGCAACAAUAACAUUUGGAAGACAGACAUGCAUGGUCUACAUGCAUCAGAGGCUGUGACUGCAUUGGAGAGGCAUCUUCACAUGUUAGAGUUCCAGCCACCAGGGAAUAAUCCAACUUCAACUGAUGAAUUAGAUAAGUCUGAACCCACAAUUGCUGUCCCAAAUGAGGUUGCAGCGGAGAAAGUGGUGGUAUUUCUUCGCCCAAGAUAGUCUGUCUUAGAGGUGAUCACAGGGAUUGGCAGGCACAGCAAAGGACAUGCUUCACUGCCUGCUGCAGUCAGGGGCUUCCUUAUUGAAAAUGGGUACCGAUUUGAGGAGCUGAGGCCUGGUGUUUUCUCUGUUCGCCCUAAAUUUCGCCGCGGGUAAACCUGUGCAAGACUACAACCAUUCCAUCAAGUUCCGUUGUUCGGCGAAUAAAUUUCUGUGAAAUGUUCUGUCAACGAAAUAGAACAUAGAAAUUUGGGCAACUCGUAGUUCGUGUAUCUUGAAUGUGGGAACUAGGCGUCGACCAGUUGGCUAGUGAUGCGCUACCGGCUGCGCGCCCAGCCUUUUACCAUCGUCCGAGCCUUGUGUUCCACAGGGUGUGUGCCUGGUUUUAGUUUUUCUUAAUAAAUAAACUAGUAAGUAUGCACGUGCAACGCACGUCUCGAC
Molecule: ribosomal RNA, 1897 nt
Filed under: Triticum aestivum (bread wheat)
Lineage: Eukaryota; Viridiplantae; Streptophyta; Magnoliopsida; Poales; Poaceae
Description: partial small subunit ribosomal RNA
Source: RNAcentral